AAAUGAUCAGAUGACUACUUAGGGAGCUACCAUUUGAUUUUUAUGGGGGGGGGGGGGGCUAGGAUGAAAAAUUUUGUCCUGCAUUUUUUUUUUAGCUGUAAUCUCUGUCCUGCCUUUUUAUUUUUCACUCUGUUCGGUCCUGCCUUUUUUUUUUUAGUUUAUCCCGACUUUUUUUUACCUAAAUUGUCGUCCUGACUUUUUUUUUUUGCAAGUGUCUCAUCCUGCCUUUUUUUUUACUCAAAAUUCCUGUCCUGCCUAUUUUUUUCAAAUUCGACCUAGCCCCCCCCCCCCCCCCAUAAAAAUCAAAUGGUAGCUCCCUUACAGGAUUAUUGUCCCUGAAUAUUUACAUUGUACUAUUACAUCUACAAAAUGGCCAAUUUAACUGAAAACAUCAAGUGACUAGGUUUAAGAAUAUUGUCCUUCAAACAGGAUUUUUGACAGCAUUGAAUGUUUUUAGGUGAAGAUUGCAUGAAAUGCAAUCAAAACCUUAUGGGACUGACUUGAUAUCUAAAUAUUCCAAGACUUAUCACAACCUUUUCUGAUACACAAAAUAUAGUGUAUUGAUCAUAACAUUCUAUACAUCCUAUCCAUAAACAUUUCCAGAUAUUUAUCAAUGUAAUAUAUGCUCAGAUAUUCAAGGC
Molecule: long non-coding RNA, 641 nt
Filed under: Mytilus galloprovincialis (Mediterranean mussel)
Lineage: Eukaryota; Metazoa; Mollusca; Bivalvia; Mytilida; Mytilidae
Source: RNAcentral